Molecule: ribosomal RNA, 543 nt
Filed under: Saitozyma flava
Lineage: Eukaryota; Fungi; Basidiomycota; Tremellomycetes; Tremellales; Trimorphomycetaceae
Description: partial large subunit ribosomal RNA
Rfam family: Eukaryotic large subunit ribosomal RNA
Source: RNAcentral
GCGGGAAGAGCUCAAAUUUGUAAUCUGGCGUCCUCCGGGCGUCCGAGUUGUAAUCUAUAGAGACGUUUUCCGUGCCGGACCGUGUCCAAGUCCCUUGGAACAGGGUAUCAAAGAGGGUGACAAUCCCGUACUUGACACGACGACCGGUGCUCUGUGAUACGUUUUCUACGAGUCGAGUUGUUUGGGAAUGCAGCUCAAAAUGGGUGGUAAAUUCCAUCUAAAGCUAAAUAUAGGCGAGAGACCGAUAGCGAACAAGUACCGUGAGGGAAAGAUGAAAAGCACUUUGGAAAGAGAGUUAAACAGUAUGUGAAAUUGUUGAAAGGGAAACGAUUGAAGUCAGUCAUGUCCAUUGGAUUCAGCUGGUUCUGCCAGUGUAUUUCCUUUGGACGGGUCAACAUCAGUUUGAGCCGGCGGAUAAUGGCAGAGGGAAUGUGGCACCCCCGGGUGUGUUAUAGCCCUUUGUCGCAUACGUCGGCCCAGACUGAGGAAUGCAGCUCGCCUUUAUGGCCGGGGUUCGCCCACGUACGAGCUUAGGAUGUUGGC